ACGAACGCUGGCGGCGUGCCUAAUACAUGCAAGUAGAACGCUGAAGGAGGAGCUUGCUUCUCUGGAUGAGUUGCGAACGGGUGAGUAACGCGUAGGUAACCUGCCUGGUAGCGGGGGAUAACUAUUGGAAACGAUAGCUAAUACCGCAUAAGAGUAGAUGUUGCAUGACAUAUGCUUAAAAGGUGCAAUUGCAUCACUACCAGAUGGACCUGCGUUGUAUUAGCUAGUUGGUGAGGUAACGGCUCACCAAGGCAACGAUACAUAGCCGACCUGAGAGGGUGAUCGGCCUCACUGGGAUGAGACACGGCCCAGACUCCUACGGGAGGCAGCAGUAGGGAAUCUUCGGCAAUGGACGGAAGUCUGACCGAGCAACGCCGCGUGAGUGAAGAAGGUUUUCGGAUCGUAAAGCUCUGUUGUAAGAGAAGAACGAGUGUGAGACGUGGAAAGUUCACACC
RNAcentral lists this ribosomal RNA (455 nucleotides) under Streptococcus mitis. Its description in RNAcentral is "bacterial SSU rRNA". It matches the Rfam family "Bacterial small subunit ribosomal RNA", at positions 29 to 470 of the family's 1533-position model. Lineage: Bacteria; Bacillati; Bacillota; Bacilli; Lactobacillales; Streptococcaceae. The record is from RNAcentral.